Molecule: non-coding RNA, 148 nt
Organism: Pan troglodytes (chimpanzee)
Lineage: Eukaryota; Metazoa; Chordata; Mammalia; Primates; Hominidae
Rfam family: Metazoan signal recognition particle RNA
About the family: The signal recognition particle (SRP) is a universally conserved ribonucleoprotein. It is involved in the co-translational targeting of proteins to membranes.
Source: Rfam
GCCGGGCAUGGUGGCGUGCGCCUGUAGUCCCAGCUACUCAGGAGGCUGAGGCAGGGGGAUUGCUUGAAUCCAGGAAGCGGAGGUUGCAGUCAGCCAAGAUCACGCCACUGCACUCCAGCCUGGGUAACAGAGCGAGACUCUGUCUCAA